GACGAACGCUGGCGGCGUGCUUAACACAUGCAAGUCGAACGCGCCUGUCCUCUGGGUUUCUGGGGGGUGGGUGAGUGGCGAACGGGUGAGUAACACAUGAGUAACCUGCCCCCUUCUUCGGGAUAACGGUCUGAAAGGGCUGCUAAUACCGGGUAUUCACUGGUCUCCGCAUGGGGUCUGGUGGAAAGGUUUUUUUCUGGUGGGGGAUGGGCUCGCGGCCUAUCAGCUUGUUGGUGGGGUGAUGGCCCACCAAGGCUUUGACGGGUAGCCGGCCUGAGAGGGUGACCGGUCACAUUGGGACUGAGAUACGGCCCAGACUCCUACGGGAGGCAGCAGUGGGGAAUAUUGCACAAUGGGCGCAAGCCUGAUGCAGCGACGCCGCGUGAGGGAUGGAGGCCUUCGGGUUGUGAACCUCUUUCGCCCGUGGUCAAGCCGCGACGUGGGUCGUGGUGAGGGUAGUGGGUAAAGAAGCGCCGGCUAACUACGUG
RNAcentral lists this ribosomal RNA (488 nucleotides) under uncultured bacterium. RNAcentral's name for it is "partial 16S ribosomal RNA". It matches the Rfam family "Bacterial small subunit ribosomal RNA", at positions 28 to 507 of the family's 1533-position model. The record is from RNAcentral.